GGUAGAGUGGUCUCCUCAGAUCCGAAUGCUUUCGUCAUGGGAAGGCAGAUUUUGGAUGCAUCUCUAAUUGCAAAUGAGGUGAUCGACUCAUGGCAAAAAAGAGGAGAGAAAGGCCUAAUCUGCAAAUUAGAUAUUGAAAAGGCGUAUGACAGCGUAAAUUGGCAGUUCUUGAUGAGGGUUCUGCAAAAAAUGGGGUUUGGGGCUACGGCAAGGUGAUCCUAUAUCCCCAUAUCUGUUUGUCAUGGGAAUGGAGGUGCUGAGUGCCCUCAUUCGGAGGGCUGUGGAAGGGGGCUGCAUUUCUGGGUGCAAAGUUUGGAGGGGCAGGGGGCAGGUUGUUAAUAUUUCCCAUCUUCUCUUUGUGGAUGAUGCAAUAGUUUUCUGUGAGGCUAGGAAAGAAGACAUGACCUACUUGAGCUGGAUUUUAUGUUGGUUUGAAGCCGUCUCAGGGCUGAGGAUAAAUCUGGCUAAAAGUGAAAUUAUUCCAGUAGGGGAGGUGGAAGAGAUCCUUGAGAUGGCUAUGGAGUUGGGAUGCAAGGUAGGUCAGCUGCCAUCAACUUACCUGGGGCUGCCCUUGGGUGCGUCUAAUAAAGCCUCUUGUGUGUGGGAUGGGGUGGAAGAAAGGAUGAAGUGGAAAUUGGCCCUUUGGAAACGGCAAUACAUCUCCAAGGGCGGUAGAAUCACCCUCAUAAAGAGUACUUUGGCUAGCAUGCCUUUAUAUCAAUUGUCCCUUUUCCGUAUGCCUAGGACAGUGGCAAGAAGGCUAGAAAAGUUGCAAAGAGAUUUCUCUUAGGGAGGGGGAAGUACGGAAAGAAAAGCCCACCUAGUCAAUUGGGAGAGGGUGUGUGUGGGUAAGGAGAAGGGGGGGCUUGGUUUGAGGAAGUUAGUCCCCUUGAACAAAGCUUUGCUUGGAAAAUGGGUGUGGAGAUUUGCUCGGGCCAAGGACGAGAUGUGGAAACAAGUUCUUGUGGCAAAAUACGGGCAAGAGGAAUUUGGGUGGAGGACUAAAAAGGCAAAUGGGGCGUUUGGUGUUGGGGUUUGGAAGGAGAUCUUGAAAGAAGCUGAUUGGUGUUGGGAUAAUAUGACUUUUAAGGUGGGAAAAGACACCAGAAUUAGGUUUUGGAAGGAUCUUUGGUGUGGGGAUGUGGAGCUGUCUCGAAGGUUCCCUCAACUCUUCGUUGCGGCUGCCCAAAGGAAUGCCACAGUGGGGGAUAUGUGGGACCAGAAUUCUGGUCAAGGAGGUUAGAAUCUAAGGUUCAUUAGAGGCUUCAAUGAUUGGGAGCUGAACAUGGUAGGCGAAUUACUCCAAAUCUUAAGGAGUCAAAGAAUUACCUUGGAGGAGGACUUGACCUUUUGGAAAGGAGGAAAAAAUGGGAAGUUUGGCGUUAAGGAAGCAUAUGGUUUGAUGAUGAGCCCUAGUGUAUCCAUGUUUCCUAAAAAAGGCAUUUGGGUGGAGAACGUUCCUUCUAAGUUAGCGUUCUUUGCGUGGGAAGCUACUUGGGGGAGGGUUUUUACCCUUGAUAGGCUUCAAAAGAGAGGAUGACAGCUUCCUAAUCGUUGUUAUUUAUGUGGUAGUGAUGAGGAAAAUGUAAAUCAUCUACUUAUUCAUUGUACAAUGGCUAGAGUGUUGUGGGGGAUUGUUUUUGGUUUGUUUGGUGCCCAGUGGGUCUUUCCAGAAUCUGUAAAGGAGGUGGUUCUUAGCUGGAAGGGUUCUUUGUGGGUAAAAAGAGGG
Long non-coding RNA from Vitis riparia (riverbank grape), 1729 nucleotides. RefSeq lists it as uncharacterized. NCBI's taxonomy places the organism in Eukaryota, Viridiplantae, Streptophyta, Magnoliopsida, Vitales, Vitaceae. The record is from RefSeq and is a predicted model, not a curated record. The transcript has 2 exons.